GCUUACGGCCAUACCACCCUGAGCACGCCCGAUCUCAUCUGAUCUCGGAAGUUAAGCAGAGUCGGGCCUGGUUAGUACUUGGAUGGGAGACCGCCUGGGAAUACCAGGUGCUGUAAGCU
This 119-nucleotide ribosomal RNA is filed under the name Betta splendens (Siamese fighting fish). The record is from RNAcentral. Lineage: Eukaryota; Metazoa; Chordata; Actinopteri; Anabantiformes; Osphronemidae.